Molecule: transfer RNA, 71 nt
Filed under: Loxodonta africana (African savanna elephant)
Lineage: Eukaryota; Metazoa; Chordata; Mammalia; Proboscidea; Elephantidae
Rfam family: tRNA
About the family: Transfer RNA (tRNA) molecules are approximately 80 nucleotides in length. Their secondary structure includes four short double-helical elements and three loops (D, anti-codon, and T loops).
Source: Rfam by way of RNAcentral
ACAUUGGUGGUUCAGUGGUAGAAUUCUCACCUUCCAUGUAGGAGACCCAGAUCCGAUUCCUGGCCAAUGCG